Long non-coding RNA from Mirounga angustirostris (Northern elephant seal), 936 nucleotides. RefSeq lists it as uncharacterized. Lineage: Eukaryota; Metazoa; Chordata; Mammalia; Carnivora; Phocidae. The record is from RefSeq and is a predicted model, not a curated record. The transcript has 2 exons.
AGCCGACAGGCAGAAGCAACAGAAGGCCGAGCCAUUUCCGGCCCGGGUAACCAAUCCCCCGGUCCACACGACGCACCACCGUCACCCCCGCUCGGUGGGGUGGAAAGGGCCGCAGCGCGAUCCGGGUCUCCAGCCCGGUCAGCGUUCGGCUGGCGGGGGGCGCGGGCCUCGCUGCGGGAACUGAGCUGGGCUGACCCUCCGGCCUGGCUGGGAGGACCGGAGCUGAGCAGCGUCCCUGGACAUCUGGAGCUACGACGAGGAAGUUGAGGCCGGCUGCCGAGCCGACUGCUACUUAAGCGGCUAAACUCCAAUUCCUGGGUGCCUGGGUACCACCGGGUACUUGGAGGGCGUUAUACUCCGGUCCUGAGGCAGCAUCGGGAAGCGAUCUUAACGUCCCACCUCUUCAAAGCAAGAAAAUUAAGCACCCCAAAACUCGACUUAGCAAAUAUACAGUAGAUGAGGAGAAGAGCUUUUCAUCUGUAUAUGGAUUCGCACCUUAGAAUUCAUUUUCCCAUUUAUGUCACUGCAUAAUACACACCCUGUAAGAUGAGGAGACUGAAGGCCAGAAAGGUUAAUUCACUUGCCUAAACUCACAAAGCCAGGCUGAUGGAUGGUCUGAUGCCAGAGUCCAUGCUUUUAAGCACUGUGUCACUCUUCGUCAACCAAGAAAACAUCUGAUUCUGGAAAAGCUUCGAACUCUGUUGAAUAUGAGGAUAAAGUCAUGCAUACCGCAUGACCGACCUGGGUCUCAAGUGCAACCAGACUCCUUUCAAGAUAAUCGGGCGUUAACUCUGCCUCUUAUUUCCACUGCCACCCUUCAUCAGCAAACAGCAUGACUUCGAGCUCCCCAGAUGCAGUAUAUUCACAGGCUUGGUGAAUGCUGUCUCCUCCUCUUGCUCACUAUUUCCAGCACAACUGCUGAAUAAAUGGCUAAAA